UGGGGAAUUUUGGACAAUGGGCGAAAGCCUGAUCCAGCAAUGCCGCGUGUGUGAAGAAGGCCUUCGGGUUGUAAAGCACUUUUGUCCGGAAAGAAAUGGCUCUGGUUAAUACCUGGGGUCGAUGACGGUACCGGUAGAAUAAGGACCGGCUAACUACGUGCCAGCAGCCGCGGUAAUACGUAGGGUGCAAGCGUGUAUCGGAAUUACUGGGCGUAAAGCGUGCGCAGGCGGUUGUGCAAGACCGGUGUGAAAUCCCCGGGCUUAACGUGGGAAUUGCAUUUGUGACUGCAUGGCUAGGGUGUGUCAGGGGGGGGUGGAAUUCCACGUGUAGCAGUGAAAUGUGUAGAGAUGUGGAGGAAUACCGAUGGGGAAGGCAGCCGCCUGGGAUAACACGGACGCUAAUGAACGAAAGGGGGGGGAGAAAACAGG
This 429-nucleotide ribosomal RNA is filed under the name Acidobacteriota bacterium. RNAcentral describes it as "Acidobacteria bacterium partial 16S ribosomal RNA". It matches the Rfam family "Bacterial small subunit ribosomal RNA", at positions 355 to 776 of the family's 1533-position model. The record is from RNAcentral. Lineage: Bacteria; Pseudomonadati; Acidobacteriota.